This 503-nucleotide ribosomal RNA is filed under the name uncultured bacterium. RNAcentral describes it as "bacterial SSU rRNA". It matches the Rfam family "Bacterial small subunit ribosomal RNA", at positions 22 to 518 of the family's 1533-position model. The record is from RNAcentral.
GGUCAGGAUGAACGCUAGCUACAGGCUUAACACAUGCAAGUCAGGGGCAGCAUGAAGUUGCUUGCAAACUUGAUGGCGACCGGCGCACGGGUGAGUAACGCGUAUCCAACCUUCCCUAUACUAGAGGAUAGCCCGGCGAAAGUCGGAUUAAUACUCUAUGUUGUAUUUCGAGGACAUCUGAAGAAUACCAAAGGUUUACCGGUAUAGGAUGGGGAUGCGUCUGAUUAGGUGUUGGCGGGGUAACGGCCACCAAGCCUACGAUCAGUAGGGGUUCUGAGAGGAAGGUCCCCCACAUUGGAACUGAGACACGGUCCAAACUCCUACGGGAGGCAGCAGUGAGGAAUAUUGGUCAAUGGACGAGAGUCUGAACCAGCCAAGUAGCCGUGCAGGAUGACGGCCCUAUGGGUUGUAAACUGCUUUUAUACAGGGAUAAAGUGACGUACGUGUACGUUUUUGUAGGUACUGUAUGAAUAAGGACCGGCUAAUUCCGUGCCAGCCGCGGC